GACGAACGCUGGCGGCGUGCUUAACACAUGCAAGUCGAACGGAAAGGCCCCUUUGGGGGUACUCGAGUGGCGAACGGGUGAGUAACACGUGAGUAACCUGCCCUUUAUUCCGGGAUAACUCCAGGAACCUGGGGCUAAUACCGGAUAGGAAUCCUUUCUCCAUGGUGGGGGUUGGAAAGCUUCGGCGGUUUGGGAUGGACUCGCGGCUUAUAAGCUUGUUGGUGGGGGAGUGGCUUACCAAGGCUUUGACGGGUAGCCGGCCUGAGAGGGCGACCGGCCACAUUGGGACUGAGAUACGGCCCAGACUCCUACGGGAGGCAGCAGUGGGGAAUAUUGCACAAUGGGCGGAAGCCUGAUGCAGCAACGCCGCGUGCGGGAUGACGGCCUUCGGGUUGUAAACCGCUUUCAGCAGGGGCGAAGCUUGUGGUGACGGUAGCUGCAGAAGAAGCACGGGCUAACUACGUG
Molecule: ribosomal RNA, 465 nt
Filed under: uncultured bacterium
Lineage: Bacteria
Description: partial 16S ribosomal RNA
Rfam family: Bacterial small subunit ribosomal RNA
Source: RNAcentral